This 146-nucleotide ribosomal RNA is filed under the name uncultured bacterium. RNAcentral describes it as "partial 16S ribosomal RNA". It matches the Rfam family "Bacterial small subunit ribosomal RNA", at positions 372 to 528 of the family's 1533-position model. The record is from RNAcentral.
CGGCUUUGCUCGCAUCUGACGCAGCGACGCCGCGUGAGCGAUGAAGGUCUUCGGAUCGUAAAGCUCUGUCCUUGGGGAAGAAGAUGGCGGUACCCCGCGUUGGAGGCCCCGCUAACUUCGUGCCCCCACCCGCCGUUAUAAACCGU